UGUCUCCUGAACAGUCCCACAUGGUGGCCUGGGCGGCACGCCUGUGGGAUGGGGAAACCGAGGCACAGACAGUCACGUGCUCUUCCAGUUGCUGGUUAGACCCCACUUGCGGUUGUGUGUUCCAGAAGCCUCCGGGCGCCGUGCGGCAGGAUGAGGAGCUGCCCCCUGGAGGAUCACGCAGGCCUCUGGGCGGCAUUCAGCAGGGUUGGCCGCGGCACCCGCUGACCACAGGGCCCACCUUUCCAGUCCUGGCCGGAGGGAAGCAUCUCAUCCAUGUUGCAGGCGCACGGGUUAGGGUGCCGCCUGCCUCCCUGACUCUGACCUCCCCAAGAGAGGAAAACAAAAGAAAAAAAGAUAGAAAAGACCAGGAAAUGGAAAUAAGACAAAGAAGAAUGAAAUUUAAAAAUCCAAACAAACCCAAACACGCUAUUUCAAAACGGAAGUCCAAGAAGAGUCUUGUGGUGAGAAAGACCGAAUUCCCAGCCAGGAAAACGCCCCAUGCUUGCCCCUCGGAGGCAGGCGCUCCCCACGGCAGAGUCUAUCUAGGUGUUUAUUAAGGUGUCUCACCACGUAUCGCCCGGAUUCGCCAGAGAUGCAGAGCCGGAGGAUACGUUCCUGUUUAAGUUGAUACAUAGUUAUAUAGGUGAAGAGCUUUACGACGAGGAAGCGGCUCACGCGGCCGUGAGGGACCCAGGCAGGAGCUGCUGCUGCUGCCCCAGGUGCGAGUCCUUCCUCCUCAGGGAGGCUCAGCUCCCCGCUGCAGCCAGGCGGGCCCAGGCAGGCCUCCUUGUCCUACAGCACAGACGGCCAAGUGCUGGUCACGGCCACUGCAUCUACACCACCCCUUUCUCAGCAGCAACUCCGUGAGUGCUCGAUGGGAAACUGCGGACAGCAGCCUUGCCAAGCGGACGCCCAGGGCUGACCACCGCAGCCCCUCCAGCCACGUUCCCCAUCAGGGCAGCCUCCUGCUGGCUUUGGCACUGCAGGCAGCACACCAGCGAGGGGUGGGGCUGUGUGCCACGAAGCGUCAUCCGUGGACGUGCCACGAAGUGUUAUUCUUCUUUUGACUUUUUCUGAUGGUUUAAAACUGUAAGAACACGCAGCUCACAGUCUGCGCGGAAGCAGGCGUGUGGCUCCUGCCUCACUGUGGGAGGAAAGAUGUUCUCAGAAGAAACGGCCGGGUUUGCGGAGGGGUUUGUGGAGGGCCGGGCAGUCUGAAUGCAGCCCAGCUGGCCUUGGUGGAGGUGGGGCUGGCACAGGGGGGUGGGGGCAGUUCUUCCUGAUGCAAAUCCUAACGCCUUCAACACUGACCUUCCAAAGAAACAGCUGCUGGACACCGCCUGACAGCAACAAGAGCUCCACUUCUGAGGCGCGCGACUCUCGAGGGCUUUGUUGUUUAUUUGGCACCCGAGGCCUAGGCUCACAGGAUCUCGGGUGUACGGGACCCCCCCAGCCCUUCCCACUGCUCUGCGAUUCUGCCUCCUUUCCGGAAAGCCAUUUGGUGGAGACUCUGAGAGCCUGAACUUAGAAGCCUGCUGAGAGGGGAAAUGGCGGCCUCCGGGGGGUGGGCAGCCUGGCCGUGGAGCGCGCGGGACUCAGGGCCACCGUCCUCCCGAGACAGCGGCAGCAGUCGCCACUCACCGAGCGGAAUUAAAAACGGCUCUCUGGUUGCCACGGCAACCAGCCGUCUCCCCUCCAGCGUCAGUUUGAAUUUGUGCAGACCAUUCCUAGCCAAGAUUCAAGCCAACAGAUUCGUGCUUACCCUGAGGUGAAGCCUCGUUUGAGAACCAAAUAAUAAAAUUAACAAACCUAAAA
Pongo pygmaeus (Bornean orangutan) is the source of this 1815-nucleotide long non-coding RNA. RefSeq lists it as uncharacterized. The record is from RefSeq and is a predicted model, not a curated record. The transcript is spliced from 3 exons. NCBI's taxonomy places the organism in Eukaryota, Metazoa, Chordata, Mammalia, Primates, Hominidae.